RNAcentral lists this ribosomal RNA (433 nucleotides) under uncultured bacterium. RNAcentral's name for it is "partial 16S ribosomal RNA". It matches the Rfam family "Bacterial small subunit ribosomal RNA", at positions 29 to 507 of the family's 1533-position model. The record is from RNAcentral.
AACGAACGCUGGCGGCAUGCCUAACACAUGCAAGUCGAACGAGGCCUUCGGGUCUAGUGGCGCACGGGUGCGUAACGCGUGGGAACCUGCCCUUAGGUUCGGAAGAACUCCCCGAAAGGGGUGCUAAUACCGGAUAAUGUCUUCGGACCAAAGAUUUAUCGCCUUUGGAUGGGCCCGCGUUGGAUUAGCUAGUUGGUAGGGUAAAAGCCUACCAAGGCGACGAUCCAUAGCUGGUUUGAGAGGAUGAUCAGCCACACUGGGACUGAGACACGGCCCAGACUCCUACGGGAGGCAGCAGUGGGGAAUAUUGGACAAUGGGCGAAAGCCUGAUCCAGCAAUGCCGCGUGAGUGAUGAAGGCCUUAGGGUUGUAAAGCUCUUUUACCCGGGAUGAUAAUGACAGUACCGGGAGAAUAAGCUCCGGCUAACUCCGUG